GACUACAUGAAGCCGGAAUCGCUAGUAAUCGCGGAUCAGAAUGCCGCGGUGAAUACGUUCCCGGGUCUUGUACACACCGCCCGUCACACCAUGGGAGUCGGAAAUGCCCGAAGCCGGUGACCCAACCCGAAAGGGAGGGAGCCGUCGAAGGCAGGUCGGAUGACUGGGGUGAAGUCGUAACAAGGUAAC
RNAcentral lists this ribosomal RNA (189 nucleotides) under uncultured bacterium. Its description in RNAcentral is "partial 16S ribosomal RNA". It matches the Rfam family "Bacterial small subunit ribosomal RNA", at positions 1314 to 1500 of the family's 1533-position model. The record is from RNAcentral.